GAUGAACGCUGGCGGCGUGCCUAAUACGUGCAAGUCGAGCGAACGGACGAGAAGCUUGCUUCUCUGAUGUUAGCGGCGGACGGGUGAGUAACACGUGGAUAACCUACCUAUAAGACUGGGAUAACUUCGGGAAACCGGAGCUAAUACCGGAUAAUAUUUUGAACCGCAUGGUUCAAAAGUGAAAGACGGUCUUGCUGUCACUUAUAGAUGGAUCCGCGCUGCAUUAGCUAGUUGGUAAGGUAACGGCUUACCAAGGCAACGAUGCAUAGCCGACCUGAGAGGGUGAUCGGCCACACUGGAACUGAGACACGGUCCAGACUCCUACGGGAGGCAGCAGUAGGGAAUCUUCCGCAAUGGGCGAAAGCCUGACGGAGCAACGCCGCGUGAGUGAUGAAGGUCUUCGGAUCGUAAAACUCUGUUAUUAGGGAAGAACAUAUGUGUAAGUAACUGUGCACAUCUUGACGGUACCUAAUCAGAAAGCCACGGCUAACUACGUGCCAGCAGCCGCGGUAAUACGUAGGUGGCAAGCGUUAUCCGGAAUUAUUGGGCGUAAAGCGCGCGUAGGCGGUUUUUUAAGUCUGAUGUGAAAGCCCACGGCUCAACCGUGGAGGGUCAUUGGAAACUGGAAAACUUGAGUGCAGAAGAGGAAAGUGGAAUUCCAUGUGUAGCGGUGAAAUGCGCAGAGAUAUGGAGGAACACCAGUGGCGAAGGCGACUUUCUGGUCUGUAACUGACGCUGAUGUGCGAAAGCGUGGGGAUCAAACAGGAUUAGAUACCCUGGCAGUCCACGCCGUAAACGAUGAGUGCUAAGUGUUAGGGGGUUUCCGCCCCUUAGUGCUGCAGCUAACGCAUUAAGCACUCCGCCUGGGGAGUACGACCGCAAGGUUGAAACUCAAAGGAAUUGACGGGGACCCGCACAAGCGGUGGAGCAUGUGGUUUAACUCGAAGCAACGCGAAGAACCUUACCAAAUCUUGACAUCCUUUGACAACUCUAGAGAUAGAGCCUUCCCCUUCGGGGGACAAAGUGACAGGUGGUGCAUGGUUGUCGUCAGCUCGUGUCGUGAGAUGUUGGGUUAAGUCCCGCAACGAGCGCAACCCUUAAGCUUAGUUGCCAUCAUUAAGUUGGGCACUCUAAGUUGACUGCCGGUGACAAACCGGAGGAAGGUGGGGAUGACGUCAAAUCAUCAUGCCCCUUAUGAUUUGGGCUACACACGUGCUACAAUGGACAAUACAAAGGGCAGCGAAACCGCGAGGUCAAGCAAAUCCCAUAAAGUUGUUCUCAGUUCGGAUUGUAGUCUGCAACUCGACUACAUGAAGCUGGAAUCGCUAGUAAUCGUAGAUCAGCAUGCUACGGUGAAUACGUUCCCGGGUCU
RNAcentral lists this ribosomal RNA (1372 nucleotides) under uncultured bacterium. RNAcentral describes it as "bacterial SSU rRNA". It matches the Rfam family "Bacterial small subunit ribosomal RNA", at positions 28 to 1381 of the family's 1533-position model. The record is from RNAcentral.